GGGUAUAGACCCGAAACCCGGUGAUCUAGCCAUGGGCAGGUUGAAGGUUGGGUAACACUAACUGGAGGACCGAACCGACUAAUGUUGAAAAAUUAGCGGAUGACCUGUGGCUGGGGGUGAAAGGCCAAUCAAACCGGGAGAUAGCUGGUUCUCCCCGAAAGCUAUUUAGGUAGCGCCUCGUGAAUUCAUCUCCGGGGGUAGAGCACUGUUUCGGCUAGGGGGCCAUCCCGGCUUACCAACCCGAUGCAAACUGCGAAUACCGGAGAAUGUUAUCACGGGAGACACACGGCGGGUGCUAACGUCCGUCGUGAAGAGGGAAACAACCCAGACCGCCAGCUAAGGUCCCAAAGUCAUGGUUAAGUGGGAAACGAUGUGGGAAGGCCCAGACAGCCAGGAUGUUGGCUUAGAAGCAGCCAUCAUUUAAAGAAAGCGUAAUAGCUCACUGGUCGAGUCGGCCUGCGCGGAAGAUGUAACGGGGCUAAACCAUGCACCGAAGCUGCGGCAGCGACGCUUAUGCGUUGUUGGGUAGGGGAGCGUUCUGUAAGCCUGUGAAGGUGGCCUGUGAGGGUUGCUGGAGGUAUCAGAAGUGCGAAUGCUGACAUAAGUAACGAUAAAGCGGGUGAAAAGCCCGCUCGCCGGAAGACCAAGGGUUCCUGUCCAACGUUAAUCGGGGCAGGGUGAGUCGACCCCUAAGGCGAGGCCGAAAGGCGUAGUCGAUGGGAAACGGGUUAAUAUUCCCGUACUUGGUGUUACUGCGAAGGGGGGACGGAGAAGGCUAUGUUGGCCGGGCGACGGUUGUCCCGGUUUAAGCGUGUAGGUGUGUGUUCCAGGUAAAUCCGGUUCACUUUAACACUGAGGCGUGAUGACGAGGCACUACGGUGCUGAAGUAACAAAUGCCCUGCUUCCAGGAAAAGCCUCUAAGCAUCAGGUAACAUCAAAUCGUACCCCAAACCGACACAGGUGGUCAGGUAGAGAAUACCAAGGCGCUUGAGAGAACUCGGGUGAAGGAACUAGGCAAAAUGGUGCCGUAACUUCGGGAGAAGGCACGCUGACAC
This 1055-nucleotide ribosomal RNA is filed under the name Salmonella enterica. RNAcentral's name for it is "partial 23S ribosomal RNA". It matches the Rfam family "Bacterial large subunit ribosomal RNA", at positions 705 to 1757 of the family's 2925-position model. The record is from RNAcentral. Lineage: Bacteria; Pseudomonadati; Pseudomonadota; Gammaproteobacteria; Enterobacterales; Enterobacteriaceae.